RNAcentral lists this ribosomal RNA (497 nucleotides) under uncultured bacterium. Its description in RNAcentral is "partial 16S ribosomal RNA". It matches the Rfam family "Bacterial small subunit ribosomal RNA", at positions 28 to 507 of the family's 1533-position model. The record is from RNAcentral.
GAUGAACGCUGGCGGCGUGCCUAAUACAUGCAAGUCGAGCGAACAGACGAGGAGCUUGCUCCUCUGACGUUAGCGGCGGACGGGUGAGUAACACGUGGAUAACCUACCUAUAAGACUGGGAUAACUUCGGGAAACCGGAGCUAAUACCGGAUAAUAUAUUGAACCGCAUGGUUCAAUAGUGAAAGACGGUUUUGCUGUCACUUAUAGAUGGAUCCGCGCCGCAUUAGCUAGUUGGUAAGGUAACGGCUUACCAAGGCAACGAUGCGUAGCCGACCUGAGAGGGUGAUCGGCCACACUGGAACUGGGACACGGUCCAGACUCCUACGGGAGGCAGCAGUAGGGAAUCUUCCGCAAUGGGCGAAAGCUUGACGGAGCAACGCCGCGUAGGUGAUGAAGGUCUUCGGAUCGUAAAACUCUGUUAUUAGGGAAGAACAAAUGUGUAAGUAACUAUGCACGUCUUGACGGUACCUAAUCAGAAAGCCACGGCUAACUACGUG